Molecule: long non-coding RNA, 1187 nt
Organism: Alosa sapidissima (American shad)
Lineage: Eukaryota; Metazoa; Chordata; Actinopteri; Clupeiformes; Clupeidae
Exons: 6
Source: RefSeq, a predicted model, not a curated record
CUGAACCCAACACCACAAAGUGGACGCUCAAGUGCGUAAGAACUGCUCUCAUCACAAUGUCAGAUUGUGCACAAGCCUAUAUAGGUCUGGCAUUGACCGGGCUGGCUUUGAUGAUUUCUGUGUGUCUCCACAUUGUGUUCUGUUUCUGGAGAAGAAUAGAUCAAGGAAAAGAUGCUGAGAAGCACCUGAACAUCUCUUCUGAACAUCAUGUUGAGAGGUGUGAGGAAAAACUACAAAAACAGGAAAAUCAAAUCUAUGGAAAUAUAUGCACAAACAGAAGGGAGUUGGACGCUUUGACAGAAAUUUGCUAUGUGCAGACGACACCCACAGACCACUGCUGAGAUGAAAAGCAAGCCAUCCUCAGAUGCUGGACUUGAACUCAGACAACAGCCCGCAGCCCGCCAAUGACAAUCCCAAAUCCAGGAAUGCCUGCAACUGAGGUCUAUUAUGAAGGCCCAACUGAUGCUUCUGUCCAGAACCACAGUUUGAGCUUUAGAUAAUCCUUUGAGUUCGUUCUUAGGCUAUCUUUUUCUUUUUUAGGCCAGUCAAUCUAGCCCCAAAAAACAAAACAUUUGCAACAGAAAUGUCUCAUAGUUUUAUUGGUCCUAAUACCCUCCUGAAUCAUAUGCUAAAAGUCUACCGUCGUAGAUGGAGUGGAAUAUAUAUUUUUUUCGAGAUUAAAGGCCAAAGUUGUGCCCAACAAGUAAAUUGAGUAGAAUAGGGGAAAAUGUUCAAUUAAUAGCUAUCACUAUGAAACGUCUCCAGUUGAUUAGUGACAUUAUACCAAAGAAAAAAUAUAUUACAAGUUUUUGAGAUUUUAUGUUUAUAUUAUGCAAAUUAGGCAUUUAUUCAUAAAAUACCAUAACGUCUCUGCACACUGUGUAAGCUAGGGAGCAGUCGAGGCCAGACUUGAACUUGCAGCGCAAAAGCUCGAACAAAGAUGAGGUGAAAUUCAGCCAAUCAGCAUUUGGCAAAUAGCUACUUACCAUAUUUAGAAGGAGGGAAAAACUAUAAAAAGUAAGGUGUGAGACACAUCAGGGCUCCGUUCCAGUUUUCACCUGUUUUUGGUCUGACAACUUUUUGCUGCCAUUAGAGCAGAGCUAGAGUAGGGACCUUAUUGCAUUUUAUACAUUUACAUUUUAUUUCUUACCUGUAAUUUUUAAAAAAAUAUAUACUUUAUAUUUUGG